This 253-nucleotide ribosomal RNA is filed under the name uncultured bacterium. RNAcentral describes it as "partial 16S ribosomal RNA". It matches the Rfam family "Bacterial small subunit ribosomal RNA", at positions 524 to 776 of the family's 1533-position model. The record is from RNAcentral.
UACAGAAGGGGCAAGCGUUGUUCGGAAUUACUGGGCGUAAAGGGCGCGUAGGCGGCCUGCUAAGUCGAACGUGAAAUCCCCGGGCUCAACCCGGGAACUGCGUCCGAUACUGGCAGGCUUGAAUCCGGGAGAGGGAUGCGGAAUUCCAGGUGUAGCGGUGAAAUGCGUAGAUAUCUGGAGGAACACCGGUGGCGAAGGCGGCAUCCUGGACCGGCAUUGACGCUGAGGCGCGAAAGCCAGGGGAGCAAACGGG